CUUUAUUGGAGAGUUUGAUCCUGGCUCAGGACGAACGCUGGCGGCGUGCCUAAUACAUGCAAGUCGAGCGAGUCCCUUCGGGGGCUAGCGGCGGACGGGUGAGUAACACGUAGGCAACCUGCCCGUAAGCUCGGGAUAACAUGGGGAAACUCAUGCUAAUACCGGAUAGAGUCUUCUCUCGCAUGAGAGGAGACGGAAAGGUGGCGCAAGCUACCACUUACGGAUGGGCCUGCGGCGCAUUAGCUAGUUGGUGGGGUAACGGCCUACCAAGGCGACGAUGCGUAGCCGACCUGAGAGGGUGACCGGCCACACUGGGACUGAGACACGGCCCAGACUCCUACGGGAGGCAGCAGUAGGGAA
This 360-nucleotide ribosomal RNA is filed under the name Brevibacillus borstelensis AK1. Its description in RNAcentral is "bacterial SSU rRNA". It matches the Rfam family "Bacterial small subunit ribosomal RNA", at positions 1 to 361 of the family's 1533-position model. Lineage: Bacteria; Bacillati; Bacillota; Bacilli; Caryophanales; Paenibacillaceae. The record is from RNAcentral.